GAUGAAGAACGUAGCGAAAUGCGAUACUUGGUGUGAAUUGCAGAAUCCCGUGAACCAUCGAGUCUUUGAACGCAAGUUGCGCCCGAAGCCAUUAGGCCGAGGGCACGCCUGCCUGGGCGUCACACGUCGUUGCCCCCCCAUCUACUCCUUCGGGAUUGCGGGGGGCGGAUGAUGGCCUCCCGUGCGCCUCGUCGCGCGGUUGGCAUAAAUGCCAAGUCCUCGGCGACGCACGCCACGACAAUCGGUGGUUGCGAAACCUCGGUUGCCCGUCGUGUGCGGUCGUCGCGCAUCGAGGGCUCGAAAAAAUUGCCGGGCUCCGGCUCGGCUUUCAACGCGACCCCAGGUCAGGCGGGGUUACCCGCUGAAUUUAAGCAUAUCAAUAAGCAGGA
RNAcentral lists this unclassified non-coding RNA (389 nucleotides) under soil metagenome. Its description in RNAcentral is "partial contains 5.8S ribosomal RNA, internal transcribed spacer 2, and large subunit ribosomal RNA". The stretch from base 1 to 122 matches the Rfam family "5.8S ribosomal RNA", at positions 35 to 154 of the family's 154-position model. The record is from RNAcentral.